UGCGAUGACCGCUUCGGCGGUCUACCUGCGGCGAGGGAAUCCGGUGCGAAUCCGGGGCUGACGCGCAACGGUGACGCCCGCUCGGGCGGAGCCCGAAUGCUCGCUGACGGUAUCCAUGCUGU
Molecule: non-coding RNA, 122 nt
Filed under: Rhodococcus triatomae
Lineage: Bacteria; Bacillati; Actinomycetota; Actinomycetes; Mycobacteriales; Nocardiaceae
Source: RNAcentral